UACGUAGGGUGCGAGCGUUGUCCGGAAUUAUUGGGCGUAAAGAGCUCGUAGGCGGUGUGUCACGUCGGCCGUGAAAACCUGCAGCUUAACUGUGGGCGUGCGGUCGAUACGGGCAUCACUGGAGUUCGGCAGGGGAGACUGGAAUUCCUGGUGUAGCGGUGGAAUGCGCAGAUAUCAGGAGGAACACCGGUGGCGAAGGCGGGUCUCUGGGCAGUAACUGACGCUGAGGAGCGAAAGCAUGGGCAGCGAACAGG
Molecule: ribosomal RNA, 254 nt
Filed under: uncultured bacterium
Lineage: Bacteria
Description: partial 16S ribosomal RNA
Rfam family: Bacterial small subunit ribosomal RNA
Source: RNAcentral